AACAAACUGAUGAAAGAAUGAUCAAACCGAGGGAAUUCACUCAGAACUAACAAUAAUGAUAACGUGCUCCGACUGGUGCGGUUUAGGAACUGCUGGAAGGCUCUAGGGGAAUAAAGAUGGAAUGACUUCUAAUUUUUAGGUCCGUAUGAUUUGAAAUACUUGCACACAAACCGCGCGAAAGCGUUCCUGGAAAUCUCAGCCCAAAAAAGGACGUUUAGUAAUUUUAAAAGGGACUAUAGGAUGAAAAACAAUAGUUUUGGCAAUUAAAGUUUGAGAUUCGACGGUGUCGUAGAUCCGUUUGGUCAUCAGGUGUUACGAGCCACACCCAUGUCUAGCUAGAAUAGUAUGUCAGGCUCAGGUUAGAGUAGAAACGGGGAACAAACUGAUGAAAGAAUGAUCAUACCAAGGGAAUUCACUCAGAACUAUCAAGAAUGAUAACGUGCUCCGACUGGAGUGAUUUAGGAACUGCUGGAAGGCUCUAGGGGAAUAAAGAUGGAAUGACUUCUAAUUUUUACGUCCGUAUGAUUUGAAAUACUUGCACACAAAUCACGCAAAAGCGUUCCUGGAAAUCUCAGCCUAAAAAAGGACGUUUAGUAAUUCUAAAAGGGACUACAGGAUGAAAAACAAUAGUUUGGGCAGUUAAAAUUUGAGAUUCGACGGUGCCGUAGAUCCGUUUGGUCAUCAGGUGUUACGAGCGACACCCUUGUCUAGCUAGAAUAGUGUGUUAGGCUCAGACUAGAGAAGAAACGGGGAACAAAGUGAUGAAAGAAUGAUCAUACCGAGGGAAUUCACUCAGAACUAACAAGAAUGAUAACGUGCUCCGACUGGAGCGGUUUAGUAACUGCUGGAAGGCUCUAGGGGAAUGAAGAUGGAAUGACUUCUAAUUUUUAGGUCCGUAUGAUUUGAAAUACAUGCACACAAACCCUGAGAAAGCGUUCCUGGAAAUCUCGGUCGAAAAAAGGAUGUUUAAUAAUUCUAAAAGGGACUACCGGAUGAAAAACAAUAGUUUUGGCAGUUAAAGUUUGUGAUUCGAUGGUGCCGUAGAUCUGUUUGGUCAUCAGGUGUUACGAGCCACACCCAUGUCUAUCUAGAAUAGUGUGUUAGGCUCAGGCUAGAGCAGAAACGGGGAACAGACUUAUGAAAGAAUGAUCAUACCGAGGGAAUUCACUCAGAACUAACAAGAAUGAUAACGUGCUCCGACUGGCGCGGUUUAGGAACUGCUGGAAGGCUCUAGGGGAAUAAAGAUGGAAAGACUUCUAAUUUUUAGGUCCGUAUGAUUUGAAAUACUUGCACACAAACCGCACGAAAGCGUUCCUGGAAAUCUCAGCCUAAAAAGGAUGUUUAGUAAUUCUAAAAGGGACUACAAGAUGAAAAAUAAUAGUUUGGGCAGUUAAAAUUUGAGAUUCGACGAUGCCGUAGAUCCGUUUGGUCAUCAGGUGUUAUGAGCCACACCCAUGUCUAGCUAGAAUAGUGUGUUAGGCUCAGGCUAGAGAAGAAACGGGGAACAAACUGAUGAAAGAAUGAUCAUACCGAGGGAAUUCACUCAGAACUAACAAGAAUGAUAACGUGCUCCGACUGGAGCAGUUUAGAAACUGCUGGAAGGCUCUAAUGGAAUAAAGAUGGAAUGCCUUCAAAUUUCUAGGUCCGUAUGAUUUGAAAUACUUGCACACAAACCGCUCGAAAGCGUUCCUGGAAAUCUCAGCCCAAAAAAGGACGUUUAGUAAUUCUAAAAGGGACUACAGGAUGAAAAACAAUAGUUUUGGCAGUUAAAGUUUGAGAUUCGAUGGUGCCGUAGAUCCGUUUGGUCAUCAGGUGUAACGAGCCACACACAUGUCUAGCUAGAGUAGUGUGCUAGGCUCAGACUAGAGAAGAAACGGGGAACAAAGUGAUGAAAGAAUGAUCAUACCGAGGGAAUUCACUCAGAACUUACAAGAAUGAUAACGUGCUCCGACUGGAGCGCUUUAGUAACUGCUGGAAGGCUCUAGGCGAAUAAAGAUGGAAUGACUUCUAAUUUUUAGGUCCGUAUGAUUUGAAAUACUUGCACACAAACCACGCAAAACCGUUCCUAGAAAUCUCGGUCGAAAAAAGGACGUUUAGUAAUUCUAAAAGGGACUACAGGAUGAAAAACAAUAGUUUUGGCAGUUAAAGUUUGAGAUUCGAUGGUGCCGUAGAUCCGUUUGGUCAUCAGGUGUUACGAGCCACACCCAUGUCUAGCUAGAGUAGUGUGCUAGGUUCAGACUAGAGAAGAAACGGGGAACAAAGUGAUUAAAGAAUGAUCAUACCGAGGGAAUUCACUCAGAACUAACAAGAAUGAUAACGUGCUCCGACUGGAGCGGUUUAGGAACUGCUGGAAGGCUCUAGGGGAAUAAAGAUGGAAUGACUUCUAAUUUUUACGUCCGUAUGAUUUGAAAUACAUGCACACAAACCACGCAAAAGCGUUCCUGGAAAUCUCAGCCUAAAAAAGGACGUUUAGUAAUUCUAAAAGGGACUACAGGAUGAAAAAUAAUAGUUUGGGCAGUUAAAAUUUGAGAUUCGACGCUGCCGUAGAUCCGUUUGGUCAUCAGGUCUUACGAGCCACACCCAUGUCUAGCUAGAAUAGUGUGUUAGGCUCAGGCUAGAGAAGAAACGGGGAACAAACUGAUGAAAGAAUGAUCAUACCGAGGGAAUUCACUCAGAACUAACAAGAAUGAUAACGUGCUCCGACUGGAGCAGUUUAGAAACUCCUGGAAGGCUCUAGGGGAAUAAAGAUGGAAUGACUUCAAAGUUUUAGGUCCGUAUGAUUUGAAAUACUUGCACACAAACCGCGUGAAAGCGUUCCUGGAAAUCUCAACCCAAAAAAGGGCGUUUAGUAAUUCUAAAAGGGACUACAGGAUGUAAAACAAUAGUUUUGGCAGUUAAAGUUUGAGAUUCGAUGGUGCCGUAGAUCCGUUUGGUCAUCAGGUGUAACGAGCCACACCCAUGUCUAGCUAGAGUAGUGUGCUAGGCUCAGACUAGAGAAGAAACGGGGAACAAAGUGAUGAAAGAAUGAUCAUACCGAGGGAAUUCACUCAUAACUAACAAGAAUGAUAACGUGCUCUGACUUGAGCGGUUUAGGAACUGCUGGAAGGCUAUAGGGGAAUAAAGAUGGAAUGACUUCAAAUUUUUAGGUCCGUAUGAUCUGAAAUACUUGCACACAAACCGCGAGAAAGCGUUCCUGGAAAUCUCAACCCAAAAAAGGACGUUUAGUAAUUCUAAAAGGGACUACAGGAUGAAAAACAAUAGUUCUGGCAGUUAUUGUUUGAGAUUCGAUAAUCUCGUAGAUCCGUUUGGUCAUCAGGUGUAACGAGCCACACCCAUGUCUAGCUAGAGUAGUGUGCUAGGCUCAGACUAGAGAAGAAACGGGGAACAAACUGAUGAAAGAAUGAUCAUACCGAGGGAAUUCACUUAGAACUAACAAGAAUGAUAACGUGCUCCGACUGGAGCGGUUUAGGAACUGCUGGAAGGCUCUAGGGGAAUAAAGAAGGAACGACUUCUAAUUUUUAGGUCCGUAUGAUUUGAAAUAUGUGCACACAAACCACGAGAAAGCGUUCCUAGAAAUCUCGGCCCAAAAGAGGACGUUUAGUAUUCUAAAAGGGACUACAGAAUGAAAAACAAUAGUUUUGGCAGUUAAAGUUUGAGAUUUGACGGUGCCGUAGAUCUGUUUGGUCAUCAGGGGUUACGAGCCACACCCAUGUCUAGCUAGAAUAGUGUGUUAGGCUCAGGCUAGAAAAGAAACGGGGAACAAAGUGAUGAAAGAAUGAUCAUACCGAGGGAAUUCACUCAGAACUAACAAGAAUGAUAACAUGCUCCGACUGGAGCGGUUUAGGAACUGCUGGAAGGCUCUAGGGGAAUAAAGAUGGAAUGACUUCUAAUUUUUAGGUCCGUAUGAUUUGAAAUACUUGCACACAAACCGCGCGAAAGCGUUCCUGGAAAUCUCAGCCCAAAAAAGGACGUUUAGUAAUUCUAAAAGGGACUACAGGAUGAAAAACAAUAGUUUUGGCAGUUAAAGUAUGAGAUUCAACGGUGCCGUAGAUCCGUUUGGUCAUUAGGUGUUACGAGCCACACCCAUGUCUAGCUAGAAUAGUGUGCUAGGCUCAGGCUAGAGAAGAAACGGGGAACAAACUGAUGAAAGAAUGAUCAAACCGAGGGAAUUCACUCAGAACUAACAAUAAUGAUAACGUGCUCCGACUGGAGCGGUUUAGGAACUGCUGGAAGUCUCUAGGGGAAUAAAGAUGGAAUGACUUCUAAUUUUUACGUUCGUAUGAUUUGAAAAACUUGCCCAUAAACCGCGCGAAAGUGUUCCUGGAAAUCUCAGCCCAAAAAAGGACGUUUAGUAAUUUUAAAAGGGACUACACGAUGAAAAACAAUAGUUUUGGCAGGUAAAGUUUGAGAUUCGACAGUGCCGUAGAUCCGUUUGGUCAUCAGGUGUUACGAGCCACACCCAUGUCUAGCUAGAAUAGUAUGUUACGCUCAGGUUAGAGAAGAAACGGGGAACAAACUGAUGAAAGAUGAUCAUACCAAGGGAAUUCACUCAGAACUAACAAGAAUGAUAACGUGCUCCGACUGGAGCGGUUUAGGAACUGCUGGAAGGCUCUAGGGGAAUAAAGAUGGAAUGACUUCUAAUUUUUACGUCUGUAUGAUUUGAAAUACUUGCACACAAACAACGCAAAAGCAUUCCUGGAAAUCUCAUCCUAAAAAAGGACGUUUAGUAAUUCUAAAAGGGACUACAGGAUGAAAAAUAAUAGUUUGGGAAGUUAAAAUUUGAGAUUCGAUAGUGCCGUAGAUCCGUUUGGUCAUCAGGUGUUAGGAGCCACACCCAUGUCUAGCUAGAAUAGUGUGUUAGGCUCAGGCUAGAGAAGAAACAGGGAACAAACUGAUGAAAGAAUGAUCAUACCGAGGGAAUUCACUCAGAACUAGCAAGAAUGAUAACGUGCUCCGACUGGAGCAGUUUUGAAACUGCUGGAAGGCUCUAGGGGAAUAAUGAUGGAAUGACUUCUAAGUUUUUGGUCCGUAUGAUUUGAAAUACGUGCACACAAACCCAGAGAAAGUGUUCUUGGAAAUCUCGGCCGAAAAAAGGAUGUUUAAUAAUUCUAAAAGGGACUACAGGAUGAAAAACAAUAGUUUUGGCAGUUAAAGUUUGUGAUUCGAUGGUGCUGUAGAUCUGUUUGGUCAUCAGGUGUUAUGAGCCACACCCAUGUCUAGCUAGAACAGUGUGUUAGGCUCAGGCUAGAGCAGAAACGGGGAACAAACUUAUGAAAGAAUGAUCAUACCGAGGGAAUUCACUCAGAACUAACAAGAAUGAUAACGUGCUCCGACUGGAGAGGUUUAGGAACUGCUGGAAGGCUCUAGGGGAAUAAAGAUGGAAUGACUUCAAAUUUUUAGGUCUGUAUGAUCUGAAAUACUUGCACACAAACCGCGAGAAAGCGUUCCUGGAAAUCUCAGCCCAAAAAAGGACGUUUAGUGAUUCUAAAAGGGACUACGGGAUAAAAAACAAUAGUUUUGGCAGUUAAAGUUUGAGAUUCGAUAAUGCCGUAGAUCCGUUUGGUCAUCAGGUGUAACGAGCCACACCCAUGUCUAGCUAGAGUAGUGUGCUAGGCUCAUACUAGAGAAGAAAUGGGGAACAAACUGAUGAAAGAAUGAUCAUACCGAGGGAGUUCACUCAAAACUAACAUGAAUGAUAACGUGCUCCGACUGGAGCGGUUUAGGAACUGCUGGAAGGCUCUAGGGGAAUAAAGAUGGAAUGACUUCUAAUUUUUAGGUCCGUAUGAUUUGAAAUACAUGCACACAAACCCCAAGAAAGCGUUCCUGGAAAUCUCGCCCCGAAAAACGACGUUUAGUAAUUCUAAAAGGGACUAUAGGAUGAAAAACAAUAGUUUUGGCAGUUAAAGUUUGAGAUUUGACGGUGCCGUAGAUCUGUUUGGUCAUCAGGUGUUACGAGCCACACCCAUUUCUAGCUAGAAUAGUGUGUUAGGCUCAGGCUAGAAAAGAAACGGGGAACAAAGUGAUGAAAGAAUGAUCAUACCGAGGGAAUUCACUCAGAACUAACAAGAAUGAUAACAUGGUCCGACUGGAGCGGUUUAGGAACUGCUGGAAGGCUCUAGGGGAAUAAAGAUGGAAUGACUUCUAACUUUUAGGUCCGUAUGAUUUGAAUUACUUGCACACAAACCGCGCGAAAGCGUUCCUGGAAAUCUCAGCCCAAAAAAGGACGUUUAGUAAUUCUAAAAGGGACUACAGGAUGAAAAACAAUAGUUUUGGCAGUUAAAGUUUGAGAUUCGACGGUGCCGUAGAUCCGUUUGGUCAGCAGGUGUUACGAGCCACACCCAUGUCUAGCUAGAGUAGUGUGCUAGGUUCAGACUAGAGAAGAAAUGUUGGGGAACGUAGCAGAAAUUCAAAAUUUUCCUACGUGUCACCAAGAUCUAUCUAUGGAGAGACUAGCAACGAGGGAAGGAGAGUGCAUCUACAUACCCUUGUAGAUCGCUAAGCGGAAGCGUUCAAGUGAACGGGGUUGAUGGAGUCGUACUCGUCGUGAUUCAGCUCACCGAUGAUCCUAGUGCCGAACGGACGGCACCUCCGCGUUCAACACACGUACAGCUCGACGAUGUCUCCCACGCCUUGAUCCAGCAAGGAGAGAGGGAGAGGUUGAGGAAGACUCCAUCCAGCAGAAGCACAACGGCGUGGUGGUGAUGGAGGAGCAUGGCAAUCCUGCAGGGCUUCGCCAAGCACCUAUGGGAGAGGAGGAGGUGUCACGGGAGGGAGGGAGGCGCCAAGGGCUCAGGUAUAGAUGCCCUCCCUCCCCUCCACUAUAUAUAGGGGCAAGGGAGAGGGGGGAGGCGCAGCCUUGCCCCUUCCUCCAAGGAAGGGGUGCGGCUAAGAGGGGGGGAGGAGUCCAUCCUCCCCAAGGCACCUCGGAGGUGCCUUCCCCCUUUAGGACUCUCCCCUUUUUCCUAUAUCUUGGCGCAUGGGCCUCUAGGGGCUGGUUCCCUUGGCCCAUGUAGGCCCAGGCGCACCCCCUACAGCCCAUGUGGCCCCCCGGGGCAGGUGGCCCCACCUGGUGGGCCCCCGGGACCCUUCCGGUGGUCCCGGUACAAUACCGAUGACCCCGAAACUUGUCCCGAUGGCCGAAACAGGACUUCCUAUAUAUAAAUCUUUACCUCCGGACAAUUCCGGAACUCCUCGUGACGUCCGGGAUCUCAUCCGGGACUCCGAACAACAUUCGGUAACCACAUACAAACUUCCUUUAUAACCCUAGCGUCAUCGAACCUUAAGUGUGUAGACCCUACGGGUUCGGGAGACAUGUAGUCAUGACCGAGAUGUUCUCCGGUCAAUAACCAACAGCGGGAUCUGGAUACCCAUGUUGGCUCCCACAUGUUCCACGAUGAUCUCAUCGGAUGAACCACGAUGUCAAGGACUCAAUCAAUCCCGUAUACAAUUCCCUUUGUCUAGCGGUAUGGUACUUGCCCGAGAUUCGAUCGUCGGUAUACCGAUACCUUGUUCAAUCUCGUUACCGGCAAGUCUCUUUACUCAUUUCGUAACACAUCAUCCCGUGAUCAACCCCUUGGUCACAUUGUGCACAUUAUGAUGAUGUCCUACCGAGUGGGCCCAGAGAUACCUCUCCGUUUACACGGAGUGACAAAAUCCCAAUCUCGAUUCGUGCCAACCCAACAGACACUUUCAGAGAUACCCGUAGUGUACCUUUACAGCCACCCAGUUACGUUGUGACGUUUGGCACACCCAAAGCACUCCUACAGUAUCCGGGAGUUGCACAAUCUCAUGGUCUAAGGAAAUGAUACUUGACAUUAGAAAAGCUUUAGCAUACGAACUACAUGAUCUUGUGCUAGGCUUAGGAUUGGGUCUUGUCCAUCACAUCAUUCUCCUAAUGAUGUGAUCCCGUUAUCAACGACAUCCAAUGUCCAUGGUCAGGAAACCGUAACCAUCUAUUGAUUAACGAGCUAGUCAACUAGAGGCUUACUAGGGACAUGGUGUUGUCUAUGUAUCCACACAUGUAUCUAAGUUUCCUAUCAAUACAAUUCUAGCAUGGAUAAUAAACGAUUAUCAUGAACAAGGAAAUAUAAUAAUAAUCAAUUUAUUAUUGCCUCUAGGGCAUAUUUCCAACAGUCUCCCACUUGCACUAGAGUCAAUAAUCUAGUUCACAUCGAUAUGUGAUUAACACUCAAGGUCACAUUCCCAUGUGACUAACACCCAAGAGUUUACUAGAGUCAAUAAUCUAGUUCACAUUUACCAUGUGAUUAACACUUGAUGAGUUCUGGGUUUGAUCAUGUUAUGCUUGUGAGAGAGGUUAUAGUCAACGGGUCUGAACCUUUCAGAUCCGUGUGUGCUUUACAAAUCUCUAUGUCAUCUCCUAGAUGCAGCUACCACGUUCUAUUUGGAGCUAUUCCAAAUAACUGUUCUACUUGGAGCUAUUCUAAAUUGUUGCUCCAUUAUACGUAUCCGGUAUCUCUACUCAGAGCUAUCCGGAUAGGUGUUAAGCUUGCAUCGACGUAACCCUUUACGACGAACUCUUUUACCACCUCCAUAAUUGAGAAAAUUCCUUAGUCCACUAGUUACUAAGGAUAACUUUGACCGCUGUCCUGUGAUCCAUUCUUGGAUCACUCUUGUACCCCUUGACUGACUCAUGGUAAAGCACACUUCAGGUGCGGUACACAGCAUAGCAUACUGUAGAGCCUAUGUCUUAAGCAUAGGGGACGACCUUCGUUCCUUUCUCUCUAUUCUGCCAUGGUCGAGCUUUAAGUCUUAACUUCAUACCUUACAACUCAGGCAAGAACUCCUUCUUUGACUGAUCCAUCUUGAACACCUUCAAGAUCACGUCAAGGCAUGUGCUCACGUCAAGAUCACGUCGGUAUACCGAUACCUUGUUCAAUCUCGUUACCGGCAAGUCUCUUUACUCGUUCCGUAACACAUCAUCCCGUGAUCAACCCCUUGGUCACAUUGUGCACAUUAUGAUGAUGUCCUACCGAGUGGGCCCAGAGAUACCUCUCCGUUUACACGGAGUGACAAAAUCCCAAUCUCGAUUCGUGCCAACCCAACAGACACUUUCAGAGAUACCCGUAGUGUACCUUUAUAGCCACCCAGUUACGUUGUGACGUUUGGCACACCCAAAGCACUCCUACGGUAUCCGGGAGUUGCACAAUCUCAUGGUCUAAGGAAAUGAUACUUGACAUUAGAAAAGCUUUAGCAUACGAACUACAUGAUCUUGUGCUAGGCUUAGGAUUGGGUCUUGUCCAUCACAUCAUUCUCCUAAUGAUGUGAUCCCGUUAUCAACGACAUCCAAUGUCCAUGGUCAGGAAACCGUAACCAUCUAUUGAUUAACGAGCCAGUCAACUAGAGGCUUACUAGGGACAUGGUGUUGUCUAUGUAUCCACACAUGUAUCUGAGUUUCCUAUCAAUACAAUUCUAGCAUGGAUAAUAAACGAUUAUCAUGAACAAGGAAAUAUAAUAAUAAUCAAUUUAUUAUUGCCUCUAGGGCAUAUUUCCAACAGUCUCCCACUUGCACUAGAGUCAAUAAUCUAGUUCACAUCACCAUGUGAUUAACACUGACAGGUCACAUCACCAUGUGACCAACAUCCAAAGAGUCUUGGGUUUGAUCAUGUUGCUUGUGAGAGAGGUUAUAGUCAACGGGUCUGAACCUUUCAGAUCCGUGUGUGCUUUACAAAUCUCUAUGUCAUCUCCUAGAUGCAGCUACCACGUUCUAUUUGGAGCUAUUCCAAAUAACUGUUCUACUUGGAGCUAUUCUAAAUUGUUGCUCCAUUAUACGUAUCCGGUAUCUCUACUCAGAGCUAUCCGGAUAGGUGUUAAGCUUGCAUCGACGUAACCCUUUACGACGAACUCUUUUACCACCUCCAUAAUUGAGAAAAUUCCUUAGUCCACUAGUUACUAAGGAUAACUUUGACCGCUGUCCUGCGAUCCAUUCUUGGAUCACCCUUGUACCCCUUGACUGACUCAUGGUAAAGCACACUUCAGGUGCGGUACACAGCAUAGCAUACUGUAGAGCCUAUGUCUUAAGCAUAGGGGAUGACCUUCGUUCCUUUCUCUCUAUUCUGCCAUGGUCGAGCUUUAAGUCUUAACUUCAUACCUUACAACUCAGGCAAGAACUCCUUCUUUGACUGGUCCAUCUUGAACACCUUCAAGAUCAUGUCAAGGUAUGUGCUCAUUUGAAAGUACUAUUAAGCGUUUUGAUCUAUCCUUAUAGAUCUUGAUGCUCAAUGUUCAAGUAGCUUAAUCCAGGUUUUCCAUUGAAAACACUUUCCAAAUAACCCUAUAUGCUUUCCAGAAAUUCUACGUCAUUUCUGAUCAUUAAUAUGUCAACAACAUAUAAUCAUCAGAAAUUCUAUAGUGCUCCCACUCACUUCUUUGGAAAUACAAGUUUCUCAUAAACUUUGUAUACACCCAAAAUCUUUGAUCAUCAUCAAAGCAUACAUUCCAACUCCGAGAUGCUCACUCCAGUCCUCAGAAGGAUUGCUGGAGCUUUGCAUACUUAUUAGCAUAUUUCAGGAUAGACAAAACCUUCCAGUUGUAUCACAUACAACCUUUCCUCAAGAAUCGUCGACGAAACAAUGUUUUGACAUCCUAUCUGCAAGAUUUCAUAAAUAAUGCAGUAAUUGUUAAUAUAAUUCCAACAGACUCUUAGCAUCGCUACGAGUGAGAAAGUCUCAUUGUAGUCAACUCCUUGAACUUGUCAAAAAACAUCUUAACGACAAGUCGAGCUUUCUCAAUGGUGACACUUACCAUCAUUGUCUGUCUUCCUUUCAAAAUCCAUAUGUACCUAACAGCCUUACGACCAUCAAGUAGUUCUUCCAAAGUCUACACUUUGUUUUCAUACAUGGAUCCUCUCUCGGGUUUUAUGGCCAUGAGCCAUUUAUCGGAAUCCGGGCCCACCAUUGCUUCUCCAUAGCUCGUAGGUUCAUUGUUGUCUAGCAACAUGACUUCCAAGACAGGAUUACUGUACCACUCUGAAGUAGUACGUAUCCUUGUCACCCUACGAGGUUUGGGAGUGACUUGAUCUGAAGUUUCAUGAUCACUAUCAUAAGCUUCUACUUCAAUUGGUGUAGGUGCCACAGGAACAACUUCCUGUGCCCUGCUACACACUGGUUGAAGUGAUGGUUCAAUAACCUCAUCAAGUCUCCACCAUCCUCCCACUCAAUUCUUUCGAGAGAAACCUUUCCUCGAGAAAGGACCCAAUUCUAGAAACAAUUCAUAUUGCUUUCGGAUCUGAAUUAGGAAGUAUACCCAACUGUUUUGGGUGUCCUAUGAAGAUGUACUUUAUCCGCUUUGGUUUCGAGCUUAAUCCUGAAACUUUUUCACAUAAGUGUCGCAGCCCCAAACCUUUAAGAAACGACAACUUAGGUUUCUCUAAACCAUAAUUCAUACGGUGUCAUCUCAUCGGAAUUACGUGGUGCCCUAUUUAAAGUGAAUGUGGUUGUCUUUAAUGCCUAACCCAUAAACUAUCGUGGCAGUUCGAUAAGAGACAUCAUGGUAUGCAUCAUAUCCAAUAGGGUGCAACUAUGAUGUUCGGACACACCAUCACACUAUGGUGUUCCAGGCGGUAUUAAUUGUGAAACAAUUUCCACAAUGUCUUAAUUGUGUGCCAAAACUCGUAACUCAGAUACUCAUCUCUAUGAUCAUAUCAUAGACAUUUUAUCCUCUUGUCACAAUGAUCUUCUACUUCACUCUGAAAUUACUUGAACCAUUCAACAAUUCAGACUUGUGUUUCAUCAAGUAAAUAUUCUCAACAUCUACUCGAAUCAUCUGUGAAGUAAGAACAUAACGAUAUUCACUGCAUGCCUCAGCACUCAUUGGACUGCACACAUCAAAAUGUGUUACUUCCAACAAGUUGCUAUCUUGUUCCAUCUUACUGAAAACGAGGCUUUUCAGUCAUCUUGCCCAUGUGGUAUGAUUUGCAUGUCCCAAGUGAUUCAAAAAUCAAGUGAGUCAAAACGGUCCAUUUGCAUGGAGUUUCUUCAUGCAUAUACACCAAUAGACAUGGUUCGCAUGUCUCAAACUUUUCAAAAACGAGUGAGCCCAAAGAUCCAUCAAUAUGGAGCUUCUUCAUGCGUUUUAUACCGAUAUGACUUACGUGGUAGUGCCACAAGUAGGUGGUACUAUCAUUACUAUCUUUUGGCAUGAACAUGUGUAUCACUACGAUCGAGAUUUAAUAAACCAUUCAUUUUAGGUGUAAGACCAUUGAAGGUAUUAUUCAAAUAAACAGAGUAACCAUUAUUCUCCUUAAAUGAAUAACCGUAUUGCGAUAGACGUAAUCCAAUCAUGUCUAUGCUCAACGCAAACACCAAAUAACAAUUAUUUAGGUUUAACACCAAUCUCUUUGGUAGAGGGAGCGUGCGAUGCUUGAUCAUAUCAAGCAUGGAAAAACUUACAACACAUAUCGUCAGCUCACCUUUAGCUAGUCUCUGUUUAUUCCGUAGCCUUUUGUUUCGAGUUACUAACACUUAGCAACCGAACUGGUAUCUAAUACCCUGGUGCUACUAGGAGUACUAGCAAAGUACACAUUAACACAAUGUAUAUCCAAUAUACUUCUAUCGACCUUGCCAGCCUUCUUAUCUACCAAGUAUCUAGGGUAAUUCUGCUCUAGUAGUUGUUCCCCUUAUUACAGAAGCACUUAGUCUCGGGUUUGGGUUUUACCUUGGGUUUCUUCACUAGAGCAGCAGCUGAUUUGCCGUUUCAUGAAGUAUCCCUUCUUGCCCUUGCCCUUCUUGAAACUAGUGGUUCCACCAACCAUCAACAAUUGAUGCUCCUUCUUGAUUUCUACUUUCGCGGUGUCAAACAUCGCGAAUACCUCAAGGAUCAUCAUAUCUAUCCCUGAUAUGUUAUAGUUCAUCAUGAAGCUCUAACAGCUUGGUGGCAAUGACUUUGGAGAACCAUCACUAUCUCAUCUGGAAGAUCAACUCCCACUCGAUUCAAGCGAUUGUUGUACUCAGACAAUCUGAGCACAAGCUCAACGAUUGAGCUUUUCUCCCUUAGUUUGCAGGUUAAGAAAGUCAUCGGAGGUCUUAUACCUCUUGACAUGGGCACGAGCCUGAAAUCCCAAUUUCAGCCCUCAAAACAUCUCAUAUGUUUCGCGAUGUUUCAAAAACGUCUUUGGUGCCUCAACUCUAAACCGUUUAACUGAACUAUCACGUAGUUAUCAAAACGUGUAUGUCAGAUGUUCGCAACAACCACAGACAACGUUCGAGGUUCAGCACACUGAGCGGUGCAUUAAGGACAUAAGCCUUCUAUGAAGCAAUGAGGACAAUCCUCAGUUUACGGACCUAGUCCGCAUAAUUGCUACUAUCAACUUUCAACUAAUUUUUCUCUAGGAACAUAUCUAAACAGUAGAACUAUAGCGUGAGCUACGACAUAAUUUGCAAAAACCUUUUGACUAUGUUCAGGAUAAUUAAGUUCAUCUUAUGAACUCCCACUCAGAUAGACAUCCCUCUAGUCAUCUAAGUGAUUACAUGAUCCGAGUCAAACUAGGCCGUGUCCGAUCAUCACGUGAGACGGACUAGUCAUCAUCGGUGAACAUCUUCAUGUUGAUCGUAUCUUCUAUACGACUCAUGUUCGACCUUUCGGUCUUCGUGUUCCGAGGCCAUGUAUGUACAUGCUAGGCUCGUCAAGUUAACCCUAAGUGUUUCGCGUGUGUAAAUCUGUCUUACACCCGUUGUAUGUGAACGUUAGAAUCUAACACCCGAUCAUCACGUGGUGCUUCGAAACACGAACUGUCGCAACGGUGCACAGUUAGGGGAGAACACUUCUUGAAAUUGUUGUAAGGGAUCAUCUUAUUUACUACCGUCGUUCUAAGCAAAUAAGAUGUAUAAACAUGAUAAACAUCACAUGCAAUCAAAUAGUGACAUGAUAUGGCCAUCAUCACUUUGCUCCUUUUGAUCUCCAUCUUCGGGGCUCCAUGAUCAUCAUCGUCACCGGCAUGACACCAUGAUCUCCAUCAUCAUGAUCUCCAUCAUCGUGUCUUCAUGAAGUUGCCUCGCCAACUAUUACUUCUACUACUAUGGCUAACGGUUAGCAAUAAAGUAAAGUAAUUACAUGACGUUUAAGUUGACACGCAGGUCACAAAUGAAUAAAGACAACUCCUAUGGCUCCUGCCGGUUGUCAUACUCAUCGACAUGCAAGUCGUGAUUCCUAUUACAAGAACAUGAUCAAUCUCAUACAUCACAUAUAUCAUUCAUCACAUCCUUUUUGGCCAUAUCACAUCACAUAGCAUACCCUGCAAAAACAAGUUAGACGUCCUCUAAUUGUUGUUUGCAUGUUUUACGUGGCUGCUAUGGGUUUCUAGCAAGAACGUUUCUUACCUACGCAUGAACAACAACGUGAUAUGCCAAUUGCUAUUUACCCUUCAUAAGGACCCUUUUCAUCGAAUCCGAUCCGACUAAAGUGGGAGAGACAGACACCCGCCAGCCACCUUAUGCAACUAGUGCAUGUUUGUCGGUGGAACCGGUCUCACGUAAGCGUACGUGUAAGGUUGGUCCGGGCCGCUUCAUCCCACGAUGCCGCCGAAUCAAGAUAAGACUAGUAACGGCAAGCAUAUUGAACAAUAUCAACGCCCACAACUACUUUGUGUUCUACUCGUGCAAAGAAUCUACGCAAUAGACCUAGCUCAUGAUGCCACUGUUGGGGAACGUAGCAGAAAUUCAAAAUUUUCCUACGUGUCACCAAGAUCUAUCUAUGGAGAUACUAGCAACGAGGGAAGGAGAGUGCAUCUACAUACCCUUGUAGAUCGCUAAGCGGAAGCGUUCAAGUGAACGGGGUUGAUGGAGUCGUACUCGUCGUGAUUCAGAUCACCGAUGAUCCUAGUGCCGAACGGACGGCACCUCCGCGUUCAACACACGUACAGCUCGACGAUGUCUCCCACGCCUUGAUCCAGCAAGGAGAGAGGGAGAGGUUGAGGAAGACUCCAUCCAGCAGCAGCACAACGGCGUGGUGGUGAUGGAGGAGCGUGGCAAUCCUGCAGGGCUUCGCCAAGCACCUACGGGAGAGGAGGAGGUGUCACGGGAGGGAGGGAGGCGCCAAGGGCUCAGGUAUAGAUGCCCUCCCUCCCCUCCACUAUAUAUAGGGGCAAGGGAGAGGGGGAGGCGCAUCCUUGCCCCUUCCUCCAAGGAAGGGGUGCGGCUAAGAGGGGGGGAGGAGUCCAUCCUCCCCAAGGCACCUCGGAGGUGCCUUCCCCCUUUAGGACUCUCCCCUUUUUCCUAUAUCUUGGCGCAUGGGCCUCUAGGGGCUGGUGCCCUUGGCCCAUGUAGGCCAAGGCGCACCCCCCUACAGCCCAUGUGGCCCCCCGGGGCAGGUGGCCCCACCCGGUGGGCCCCCGGGACCCUUCCGGUGGUCCCGGUACAAUACCGAUGACCCCGAAACUUGUCCCGAUGGCCGAAACAGGACUUCCUAUAUAUAAAUCUUUACCUCCGGACCAUUCCGGAACUCCUCGUGACGUCCGGGAUCUCAUCCGGGACUCCGAACAACAUUCGGUAACCACAUACAAACUUCCUUUAUAACCCUAGCGUCAUCGAACCUUAAGUGUGUAGACCCUACGGGUUCGGGAGACAUGUAGUCAUGACCGAGAUGUUCUCCGGUCAAUAACCAACAGCGGGAUCUGGAUACCCAUGUUGGCUCGCACAUGUUCCACGAUGAUCUCAUCGGAUGAACCACGAUGUCAAGGACUCAAUCAAUCCCGUAUACAAUUCCCUUUGUCUAGCGGUAUGGUACUUGCCCGAGAUUCGAUCGUCGGUAUACCGAUACCUUGUUCAAUCUCGUUACCGGCAAGCCUCUUUACUCGUUCCGUAACACAUCAUCCCGUGAUCAACCCCUUGGUCACAUUGUGCACAUUAUGAUGAUGUCCUACCGAGUGGGCCCAGAGAUACCUCUCCGUUUACACGGAGUGACAAAAUCCCAAUCUCGAUUCGUGCCAACCCAACAGACACUUUCAGAGAUACCCGUAGUGUACCUUUAUAGCCACCCAGUUACGUUGUGACGUUUGGCACACCCAAAGCACUCCUACGGUAUCCGGGAGUUGCACAAUCUCAUGGUCUAAGGAAAUGAUACUUGACAUUAGAAAAGCUUUAGCAUACGAACUACAUGAUCUUGUGCUAGGCUUAGNNNNNNNNNNUGAUCAACCCCUUGGUCACAUUGUGCACAUUAUGAUGAUGUCCUACCGAGUGGGCCCAGAGAUACCUCUCCGUUUACACGGAGUGACAAAAUCCCAAUCUCGAUUCGUGCCAACCCAACAGACAUUUUCAGAGAUACCCGUAGUGUACCUUUAUAGCCACCCAGUUACGUUGUGACGUUUGGCACACCCAAAGCACUCCUACGGUAUCCGGGAGUUGCACAAUCUCAUGGUCUAAGGAAAUGAUACUUGACAUUAGAAAAGCUUUAGCAUACGAACUACAUGAUCUUGUGCUAGGCUUAGGAUUGGGUCUUGUCCAUCACAUCAUUCUCCUAAUGAUGUGAUCCCGUUAUCAACGACAUCCAAUGUCCAUGGUCAGGAAACCGUAACCAUCUAUUGAUUAACGAGCUAGUCAACUAGAGGCUUACUAGGGACAUGGUGUUGUCUAUGUAUCCACACAUGUAUCUGAGUUUCCUAUCAAUACAAUUCUAGCAUGGAUAAUAAACGAUUAUCAUGAACAAGGAAAUAUAAUAAUAAUCAAUUUAUUAUUGCCUCUAGGGCAUAUUUCCAACAAGAAACGGGGAACAAACUGAUGAAAGAAUGAUCAUACCGAGGGAAUUCACUCAGAACUAACAAGAAUGAUAACGUGCUUUGACUGGAGCGGUUUAAAAACUGCUGGAAGGCUCUAGGGGAAUAAAGAUGGAAUGCCUUCAAAUUUCUAGGUCCGUAUGAUUUGAAAUACUUGCACACAAACCGCGCGAAAGCGUUCCUGGAAAUCUCAGCCCAAAAAAGGACGUUUAGUAAUUCUAAAAGGGACUACAGAAUGAAAAACAAUAGUUUUGGCAGUUAAAGUUUGAGAUUCGAUGGUGCCGUAGAUCCGUUUGGUCAUCAGGUGUAACGAGCCACACCCAUGUCUAGCUAGAGUAGUGUGCUAGGCUCAGGCUAGAGAAGAAACGGGGAACAAACUGAUGAAAGAAUGAUCAUACCGAGGGAAUUCACUCAGAACUAACAAGAAUGAUAACGUGCUCCGACUGGAGCGGUUUAGGAACUGCUGGAAGGCUCUAGGGGAAGAAAGAAGGAAUGACUUCUAAUUUUUAGGUCCGUAUGAUUUGAAAUACGUGCACACAAACCGCGCGAAAGCGUUCCUGGAAAUCUCAGCCCAAAAAAGGACGUUUAGUAUUCUAAAAGGGACUACAGAAUGAAAAACAAUAGUUUUGGCAGUUAAAGUUUGAGAUUCGACGGUGCCGUAGAUCCGUUUGGUCAUCAGGUGUUACGAGCCACACCCAUGUCUAGCUAGAAUAGUGUGCNNNNNNNNNNNNNNNNNNNNNNNNNCGUAUGAUUUGAAAUACGUGCACACAAACCGCGCGAAAGCGUUCCUGGAAAUCUCAGCCCAAAAAAGGACGUUUAGUAUUCUAAAAGGGACUACAGAAUGAAAAACAAUAGUUUUGGCAGUUAAAGUUUGAGAUUCGACGGUGCUGUAGAUCCGUUUGGUCAUCAGGUGUUACGAGCCACACCCAUGUCUAGCUAGAAUAGUGUGCUAGGCUCAGGCUAGAGAAGAAAAGGGGAACAAACUAAUGAAAGAAUGAUCAAUACGAGGGAAUUCACUCAGAACUAACAAUAAUGAUAACGUGCUCCGACUGGAGCGGUUUAGGAACUGCUGGAAGGCUCUAGGCGAAUAAAGAUGGAAUGACUUCUAAUUUUUACGUCCGUAUGAUUUGAAAUACUUGCACACAAACCACGCAAAAGCGUUCCUGGAAAUCUCGGCCUAAAAAGGACGUUUAGUAAUUCUAAAAGGGACUACAGGAUGAAAAAUAAUAGUUUGGGCAGUUAAAAUUUGAGAUUCGACGGUGCCGUAGAUCCGUUUGGUCAUCAGGUGUUACGAGCCACACCCAUGUCUAGCUAGAAUAGUGUGUUAGGCUCAGGCUAGAGAAGAAACGAGGAACAAACUGAUGAAAGAAUGAUCAUACCAAGGGAAUUCACUCAGAACUAACAAGAAUGAUAACGUGCUCCGACUGGAGCAGUUUAGAAACUGCUGGAAGGCUCUAGGGGAAUAAAGAUGGAAUGACUUCUGAUUUUUAGGUCCGUAUGAUUUGAAAUACGUGCACACAAACCCCGCGAAAGCGUUCCUGGAAAUCUCAGCCCAAAAAAGGACGUUUAGUAAUUCUAAAAGGGACUACAACAUGAAAAACAAUAGUUUUGGCAGUUAAAGUUUGAGAUUUCAUGGUGCCGUAGAUCUGUUUGGUCAUCAGGUGUUACGAGCCACACCCAUGUCUAGCUAGAAUAGUGUGUUAGGCUCAGGCUAGAAAAGAAACGGGAAACAAAGUGAUGAAAGAAUGACCAUACCGAGGGAAUUCACUCAGAACUAACAAGAAUGAUAACAUGCUCCGACUUGAGCGGUUUAGGAACUGCUGGAAGGCUCUAGGGGAAUAAAGAUGGAAUGACUUCUAAUGUUUAGGUCCGUAUGAUUUGAAAUACUUGCACAUAAACCGCACAAAAGCGUUCCUGGAAAUCUCAGCCCAAAAAAGGACGUUUAGUAAUUCUAAAAGGGACUACAGGAUGAAAAACAAUAGUUUUGGCAGUUAAAGUUUGAGAUUCGACGGUGCCGUAGAUCCGUUUGGUCAUCAGGUGUUACGAGCCACACCCAUGUCUAGCUAGAAUAGUGUGUUAGGCUCAGGCUAGAGAAGAAACUUGGAACAAACUGAUGAAAGAAUGAUCAAACCAACGGAAUUCACUCAGAACUAACAAUAAUGAUAACGUGCUCCGACUGGAGCAGUUUAGGAACUGCUGGAAGGCUCUAGGGGAAUAAAGAUGGAAUGACUUCUAAUUUUUAGGUCCGUAUGAUUUGAAAUACUUGCACGCAAACCGCGCGAAAGCGUUCCUGGAAAUAUCAGCCCAAAAAAGGACGUUUAGUAAUUCUAAAAGGGACUACAGGAUGAAAACAAUAGUUUUGGCAGUUAAAGUUUGAGAUUCAACAGUGCCGUAGAUCCGUUUGGUCAUCAGGUGUUAUGAGCCAUACCCAUGUCUAGCUAGAGUAGUGUGCUAGGCUCAGGCUAGAGAAGAAACAGGGAACAAACUGAUGAAAGAAUGAUCAUACCGAGGGAAUUCACUCAGAACUAACAAGAAUGAUAACGUGCUCCGACUGGAGCGGUUUAGGAACUGCUGGAAGGCUCUAGGGGAAUAAAGAUGGAGUGACUUCUAAAUUUUUAGGUCCGUAUGAUUUAAAAUACUUGCACACAAACCGCACGAAAGCGUUCCUUGAAAUCUCAGCCCAAAAAAGGACGUUUAGUAAGUCUAAAAGGGACUAUAGGAUGAAAAACAAUAGUUUUGGCAGUUAAAGUUUGAGAUUCGAUGGUGCCGUAGAUCUGUUUGGUCAUCAGGUGUUACGAGCCACACCCAUGUCUAGUUGGAAUAGUGUGCUAGGCUCAGACUAGAGAAGAAACAGGGAACAAACUGAUGAAAGAAUGAUCAAACCGAGGAAAUUCACUCAGAACUAACAAUAAUGAUAACAUGCUCCGACUGGAGCGGUUUAGGAACUGCUGGAAGGCUCUAGGGGAAUAAAGAUGGAAUGACUUCUAAAUUUUUAGGUCCGUAUGAUUUGAAAUAGUUGCACACAAACUGCGCGAAAGCGUUCCUGGAAAUCUCAGCCCAAAAAAGGACGUUUAGUAAUUCUAAAAGGGACUAUAGGAUGAAAAACAAUAGUUUUGGCAGUUAAAGUUUGAGAUUCGACGGUGCCGUAGAUCCGUUUGGUCAUCACGUGUUACAAGCCACACCCAUGUCUAGCUAGAGUAGUGUGCUAGGCUCAGACUAUAGAAGAAACGGGGACCAAACUGAUGAAAGAAUGAUCAAACCGAGGAAAUUCACUCAGAACUAACAAUAAUGAUAACAUGCUCCGACUGGAGCGGUUUAGGAACUACUGGAAGGCUCUAGGGGAAUAAAGAUGGAAUGACUUCUAAAUUUUUAGGUCCGUAUGAUUUUAAAUAGUUGCACACAAACUGCGCGAAAGCGUUCCUGGAAAUCUCAGCCCAAAAAAGGACGUUUAGUAAUUCUAAAAGGGACUACAGGAUGAAAAACAAUAGUUUGGGCAGUUAAAAUUUGAGAUUCGACGGUGCCGUAGAUCCGUUUGGUCAUCAGGUGUUACGAGCCACACCCAUGUCUAGCUAGAGUAGUGUGCUAGGCUCAGGCUAGAGAAGAAACAGGGAACAAACUGAUGAAAGAAUGAUCAUACCGAGGGAAUUCACUCAGAACUAACAAGAAUGAUAACGUGCUCUGACUGGAGCGGUUUAAGAACUGUUGGAAGGCUCUAGGGGAAUAAAGAUGGAAUCACUUCAAAUUUUUACGUCCGUGUGAUUUGAAAUACUUGCACACAAACCGCACGAAAGCGUUCCUGGAAAUCUCAGCCCAAAAAAGGACGUUUAGUAAGUCUAAAAGGGACUACACGAUGAAAAACAAUAGUUUUGGCAGUUAAAGUUUGAGAUUCGACAGUGCCGUAGAUCCGUUUGGUCAUCAGGUGUAACGAGCCACACCCAUGUCUAGAUAGAGUAGUGUGCUAGGCUCAAACUAGAGAAGAAACGGGGAACAAACUGAUGAAAGAAUGAUCAUACCGAGGGAAUUCACUCAGAAAUAACAAGAAUGAUAACGUGCUCUGACUGGAGCGGUUUAGGAACUGCUGGAAGGCUCUAGGGGAAUAAAGAAGGAAUGACUUCUAAUUUUUAGGUCCGUAUGAUUUGAAAUACGUGCACACAAACCCCGAGAAAGCGUUCCUGGAAAUCUCGACCCAAAAAAGGACGUUUAGUAAUUCUAAAAGGGACUACGGGAUGAAAAACAAUAGUUUUGGCAGUUAAAGUUUGAGAUUCGAUAAUGCCGUAGAUCCAUUUGGUCAUCAGGUGUAACGAGCCACACCCAUGUCUAGCUAGAGUAGUGUGCUAGGCUCAGACUAGAGAAGAAACAGGGAACAAACUGAUGAAAGAAUGAUCAUAUCGAGGGAAUUCACUCAGAACUAACAAGAAUGAUAACAUGCUCCGACUUGAGCGGUUUAGGAACUGCUGGAAGGCUCUAGGGGAAUAAAGAUGGAAUGACUUCUAAUUUUUAGGUCCGUAUGAUUUGAAAUACUUACACACAAACCACGCGAAAGCGUUCCUGGAAAUCUCAGCCCAAAAAAGGACGUUUAGUAAUUCUAAAAGGGACUACAUGAUGAAAAACAAUAGUUUUCGCAGUUAAAGUUUGAGAUUCGACGGUGCCGUAGAUCCGUUUGGUCAUCAAGUGUUACGAGCCACACCCAUGUCUAGCUAGAAUAGUGUGUUAGGCUCAGCCUAGAGAAGAAACGGGGAACAAACUGAUGAAAGAAUGAUCAUACCGAGGGAAUUCACUCAGAACUUACAAGAAUGAUAACGUGCUCCGACUUGAGCGGUUUAAGAACUGUUGGAAGGCUCUAGGGGAAUAAAGAUGGAAUCACUUCAAAUUUUUACGUCCGUGUGAUUUGAAAUACUUGCACACAAACCCCGAGAAAGCGUUCCUGGAAAUCUCGGCCGAAAAAAGGAUGUUUAAUAAUUCUAAAAGGGACUACAGGAUGAAAAACAAUAGCUUUGGCAGUUAAAGUUUGUGAUUCGAUGGUGCCGUAGAUCUGUUUGGUCAUCAGGUGUUAUGAGCCACACCCAUGUCUAGCUAGAAUAGUGUGUUAGGCUCAGGCUAGAGCAGAAACUAGGAACAAACUUAUGAAAGAAUGAUCAUACCGAGGGAAUUCACUCAGAACUAACAAGAAUGAUAACGUGCUCCGACUGGAGCGGUUUAGGAACUGCUGGAAGGCUCUAGGGGAAUAAAGAUGGAAUGACUUCUAAUUUUUAGGUCCGUAUGAUUUGAAAUACAUGCACACAAACCCCAAGAAAGCGUUCCUAGAAAUCUCAGCCCAAAAAGGACGUUUAGUAAUUCUAAAAGGGACUACAGGAUGAAAAACAAUAGGUUUGGCAGUUAAAGUUUGAGAUUCGAUAAUGCCGUAGAUCCGUUUGGUCAUCAGGUGUAACGAGCCACACCCAUGUCUAGCUACAUUAGUGUGCUAGGCUCAGACUAGAGAAGAAACGGGGAACAAACUGAUGAAAGAAUGAUCAUACCGAGGGAAUUCACUCAGAACUAACAAGAACGAUAACAUGCUCCGACUGCAGCGGUUUAGGAACUGCUGGAAGGCUCUAGGGGAAUAAAGAAGGAAUGACUUCUAAUUUUUAGGUCCGUAUGAUUUGAAAUACUUGCACACAAACCGCGCGAAAGCAUUCCUGGAAAUCUCAGCCCAAAAAAGGACGUUUAGUAAUUCUAAAAGGGACUACAGGAUGAAAAACAAUAAUUUUGGCAGUUAAAGUUUGAGAUUCGACGGUGCCGUAGAUCCGUUUGGUCAUCAGGUGUUACGGGCCAUACCCAUGUCUAGCUAGAAUAGUGUGUUAGGCUCAGGUUAGAGAAGAAACGGGGAACAAAGUGAUGAAAGAAUGAUCAUACCGAGGGAAUUCACUCAGAACUAACAAGAAUGAUAACGUGCUCCGACUGGAGCGGUUUAGGAAUUGCUGGAAGGCUCUAGGGGAAUAAAGAUGGAAUGACUUCUAUAUUUUACGUCCGUAUGAUUUGAAAUACUUGCACACAAACCACGCAAAAGCACUCCUGGAAAUAUCAGCCUAAAAAGGAUGUUUAGUAAUUCUAAAAGGGACUACAGGAUGAAAAAUAAUAGUUUUGGCAGUUAAAAUUUGAGAUUCAACGGUGCCGUAAAUCCGUUUGGUCAUCAGGUGUUACGAGCCACACCCAUGUCUAGCUAGAAUAGUGUGUUAGGCUCAGGUUAGAGAAGAAACGGGGAACAAACUGAUGAAAGAAUGAUCAUACAAGGGGAAUUCACUCAGAACUAUCAAGAAUGAUAACGUGCUCCGACUGGAGCAGUUUAGGAACUGCCGGAAGGCUCUAGGGGAAUAAAGAUGGAAUGACUUCUAAUUUUUAUGUCCGUAUGAUUUGAAAUACUUGCACACAAACCACGCAAAAGCGUUCCUGGAAAUCUCAGCCUAAAAAGGACGUUUAGUAAUUCUAAAAGGGACUACAGGAUGAAAAACAAUAGUUUGGGCAGUUAAAAUUCGAGAUUCGACGGUGCCGUAGAUCCGUUUGGUCAUCAGGUGUUACGAGCCACACCCAUGUCUAGCUAGAAUAGUGUGUUAGGCUCAGGCUAGAGAAGAAACGGGGAACAAACUGAUGAAAGAAUGAUCAUAUCGAGGGAAUUCACUCAGAACUAACAAGAAUGAUAACGUGCUCCGACUGGAGCGGUUUAGUAACUGCUGGAAGGCUCUAGGGGAAUAAAGAUGGAAUGACUUCUAAUUAUUAGGUCCGUAAGAUUUGAAUUACAUGCACACAAACCCCGAGAAAGCGUUCCUGGAAAUCUCGGUCGAAAAAAGGAUGUUUAGUAAUUCUAAAAGGGACUACAGGAUGAAAAACAAUAGUUUUGGCAGUUAAAGUUUGUGAUUCGAUGGUGCCGUAGAUCUGUUUGGUCAUCAGGUGUUACGAGCCACACCCAUGUCUAGCUAGAAUAGUGUGUUAGGCUCAGGCUAGAGCAGAAACGGGGAACAAACUUAUGAAAGAAUGAUCAUGCCGAGGGAAUUCACUCAGAACUAACAAGAAUGAUAACGUGCUCCGACUGGAGCGGUUUAGGAACUGCUGGAAGGCUCUAGGGGAAUAAAGAUGGAAUGACAUCAAAUUUUUAGGUCCGUAUGAUUUGAAAUACUUGCACACAAACCGCAAGAAAGCGUUCUUGGAAAUCUCCGCCCAAAAAAGGACGUUUAGUAAUUCUAAAAGGGUCUACAGGAUGAAAAACAAUAGUUCUGGCAGUUAAAGUUUGAGAUUCGAUAAUGUCGUAGAUCCGUUUGGUCAUCAGGCGUAACGAGCCACACCCAUUUCUAGCUAGAGUAGUGUGCUAGGCUCAGACUAGAGAAGAAACGGGGAACAACCUGAUGAAAGAAUGAUCAUACCGAGGGAAUUCACUCAGAACUAACAAGAAUGAUAACGUGCUCCGACUGGAGCGGUUUAGGAACUGCUGGAAGGCUCUACGGGAAUAAAGAAGGAAUGACUUCUAAUUUUUAGGUCCGUAUGAUUUGAAAUACGUGCACACAAACCCCGAGAAAGCGUUCCUGGAAAUCUCGGCCCAAAAAAGGACGUUUAGUAUUCUAAAAGCGACUACAGAAUGAAAAACAAUAGUUUUGGUAGUUAAAGUUUGAGAUUUAACGGUGCCGUAGAUCUGUUUGGUCAUCAGGUGUUACGAGCCACACCCAUGUCUAGCUAGAAUAGUGUGUUAGGCUCAGGCUAGAUAAGAAACAGGGAACAAAGUGAUGAAAGAAUGAUCAUACCAAGGGAAUUCACUCAGAACUAACAAGAACGAUAACAUGCUCCGACUGGAGUGGUUUAGGAACUGCUGGAAGGCUCUAGGGGAAUAAAGAUGGAAUGACUUCUAAUUUUUAGGUCUGUAUGAUUUGAAAUACUUGCACACAAACCGCACGAAAGCGUUCCUGGAAAUCUCAUCCCAAAAAAGGACGUUUAGUAAUUCUAAAAGGGACUACAGGAUGAAAAACAAUAGUUUUGGCAGUUAAAGUUUGAGAUUCGAUAAUGCUGUAGAUCCGUUUGGUCAUCAGGUGUAACGAGCCACACCCAUGUCUAGCUAGAGUAGUGUGCUAGGCUCAGACUAGAGAAGAAACGGGGAACAAACUGAUGAAAGAAUGAUCAUACCGAGGGAAUUCACUCAGAACUAACAAUAAUGAUAACGUGCUCCGACUGGAGCGGUUUAGGAACUGCUGGAAGGCUCUAGGGGAAUAAAGAUGGAAUGAGUUCUAAUUUUUAGGUCUGUAUGAUUUGAAAUACUUGCACACAAACCGCGUGAAAGCAUUCCUGGAAAUUUCAGCCCAAAAAAGGACGUUUAGUAAUUUUAAAAGGGACUACACGAUGAAAAACAAUAGUUUUGGCAGUUAAAGUUUGAGAUUCGACGGUGCCGUAGAUCCGUUUGGUCAUCAGGUGUUACGAGCCACACCCAUGUCUAGCUAGAAUAGUAUGUUAGGCUCGGGUAAGAGAAGAAACGGGGAACAAACUGAUGAAAGAAUGAUCAUACCAAGGGAAUUCACUCAGAACUAACAAGAAUGAUAACGUGCUCCGACUGGAGCGGUUUAGGAACUGCUGGAAGGCUCUAGGGGAAUAAAGAUGGAAUGACUUCUAAUUUUUACGUUCGUAUGAUUUGAAAUACUUGCACACAAACCACGCAAAAGCGUUCCUGGAAAUCUCAUCCUAAAAAAGGACGUUUAGUAAUUCUAAAAGGGACUACAGGAUGAAAAAUAAUAGUUUGGGCAGUUAAAAUUUGAGAUUCGACGGUGCCGUAGAUCCGUUUGGUCAUCAGGUGUUACGAGCCACACCCAUGUCUAGCUAGAAUAGUGUGUUAGGCUCAGGCUAGAGAAGAAACGGGGAACAAACUGAUGAAAGAAUGAUCAUAUCGAGGGAAUUCACUCAGAACUAACAAGAAUGAUAACGUGCUCCGACUGGAGCAGUUUAGAAACUGCUGGAAGGCUCUAGGGGAAUAAAGAUGGAAUGACUUCUAAUUUUUAGGUCUGUAUGAUUUGAAAUACGUGCACACGAACCCCGAGAAAGCGUUCCUGGAAAUCUCGGCCCAAAAAAGGACGUUUAGUAAUUCUAAAAGGGACUACAGGAUGAAAAACAAUAGUUUUGGCAGUUAAAGUUUGAGAUUCGACGGUGCCGUAGAUCCGUUUGUUCAUCAGGUGUUACGAGCCACACCCAUGUCUAGCUAGAAUAGUGUGUUAGGCUCAGGCUAGAGAAGAAACGGGGAACAAACUGAUGAAAGAAUGAUCAUACCGAGGGAAUUCACUCAGAACUAACAAGAAUGAUAACGUGCUCCGACUGGAGCGGUUUAGGAACUGCUAGAAGGCUCUAGGGGAAUAAAGAAGGAAUGACUUCUAAUUUUUAGGUCCGUAUGAUUUGAAAUACGUGCACACAAACCCCGAGAAAGCGUUCCUGGAAAUCUUGGCCCAAAAAAGGACGUUUAGUAUUCUAAAAGCGACUACAGAAUGAAAAACAAUAGUUUUGCUAGUUAAAGUUUGAGAUUUGAUGGUGCCGUAGAUCUGUUUGGUCAUCAGGUUUUACGAGCCACACCCAUGUCUAGCUAGAAUAGUGUGUUAGGCUCAGGCUAGAAAAGAAACAGGGAAUAAAGUGAUGAAAGAAUGAUCAUACCAAGGGAAUUCACUCAGAACUAACAAGAACGAUAACAUGCUCCGACUGGAGUGGUUUAGAACUGCUGGAAGGCUAAAGGGGAAUAAAGAUGGAAUGACUUCUAAUUUUUAGGUCCGUAUGAUUUGAAAUACUUGCACACAAACCGCACGAAAGUGUUCCUGGAAAUCUCAGCCCAAAAAAGGACGUUUAGUAAUUCUAAAAGGGACUACAGGAUGAAAAACAAUAGUUUUGGCAGUUAAAGUUUGAGAUUCGAUAAUGACGUAGAUCCGUUUGGUCAUCAGGUGUAACGAGCCACACCCAUGUCUAGCUAGAGUAGUGUGCUAGGCUCAGACUAGAGAAGAAACGGGGAACAAACUGAUGAAAGAAUGAUCAUACCGAGGGAAUUCACUCAGAACUAACAAUAAUGAUAACGUGCUCCGACUAGAGCGGUUUAGGAACUGCUGGAAGGCUCUAGGGGAAUAAAGAUGGAAUGACUUCUAAUUUUUAGGUCCCUAUGAUUUGAAAUACUUGCACACAAACCGCGUGAAAGCAUUCCUGGAAAUUUCAGCCCAAAAAAGGACGUUUAGUAAUUUUAAAAGGGACUACACGAUGAAAAAGAAUAGUUUUGGCAGUUAAAGUUUGAGAUUCGACGGUGCCGUAGAUCCGUUUGGUCAUCAGGUGUUACGAGACACACCCAUGUCUAGCUAGAAUAGUAUGUUAGGCUCGGGUUAGAGAAGAAACGGGGAACAAACUGAUGAAAGAAUGAUCAUACCAAGGGAAUUCACUCAGAACUAACAAGAAUGAUAACGUGCUCCGACUGGAGCGGUUUAGGAACUGCUGGAAGGCUCUAGGGGAAUAAAGAUGGAAUGACUUCUAAUUUUUACGUUCGUAUGAUUUGAAAUACUUGCAAACAAACCACGCAAAAGCGUUCCUGGAAAUUUCAUCCUAAAAAAGGACGUUUAGUAAUUCUAAAAGGGACUACAGGAUGAAAAAUAAUAGUUUGGGCAGUUAAAAUUUGAGAUUCGAUGGUGCCGUAGAUCCGUUUGGUCAUCAGGUGUUACGAGCCACACCCAUGUCUAGCUAGAAUAGUGUGUUAGGCUCAGGCUAGAGAAGAAACGGGGAACAAACUGAUGAAAGAAUGAUCAUAUCGAGGGAAUUCACUCAGAACUAACAAGAAUGAUAACGUGCUCCGACUGGAGCAGUUUAGAAACUGCUGGAAGGCUCUAGGGGAAUAAAGAUGGAAUGACUUCUAAUUUUUAGGUCUGUAUGAUUUGAAAUACGUGCACACAAACCCCGAGAAAGCGUUCCUGGAAAUCUCGUCCGGAAAAAGGAUGUUUAAUAAUUCUAAAAGGGACUACAGGAUGAAAAACAAUAGUUUUGGCAGUUAAAGUUUGUGAUUCGAUGGUGCCGUAGAUCUGUUUGGUCAUCAGGUGUUACGGGCCACACCCAUGUCUAGCUAGAAUAGUGUGUUAGGCUCAGGCUAGAGCAGAAACGGGGAGCAAACUUAUGAAAGAAUGAUCAUAGCGAGGGAAUUUACUCAGAACUAACAAGAAUGAUAACGUGCUCCGACUGGAGCGGUUUAGGAACUGCUGGAAGGCUCUAGGGGAAUAAAGAUGGAAUGACUUCAAAUUUUCAGGUAUGUAUGAUCUGAAAUACUUGCACACAAACCGCGAGAAAGCGUUCCUGGAAAUCUCAACCCAAAAAAGGAUGUUUAGUAAUUCUAAAAGGGACUACAGGAUUAAAAACAAUAGUUUUGGCAGUUAAAGUUUGAGAUUCGAUAAUGUCGUAGAUCCGUUUGGUCAUCAGGUGUAACGAGCCACACCCAUGUCUAGCUAGAGUAGUGUGCUAGGCUCAUACUAGAGAAGAAACGGGGAACAAACUGAUGAAAGAAUGAUCAUACCGAGGGAAUUCACUCAGAACUAACAAGAAUGAUAACGUGCUCCGACUGGAGCGGUUUAGGAACUGCUGGAAGGCUCUAGGGGAAUAAAGAUGGAAUGACUUCUUAUUUUUAGGUCCGUAUGAUUUGAAAUACAUGCACACAAACCCCAAGAAAGCGUUCCGGGAAAUCUCGGCCCAAAGAAUGAUGUUUAGUAAUUCUAAAAGGGACUAUAGAAUGAAAAACAAUAGUUUUGGCAGUUAAAGUUUGAGAUUUGACGGUGUCGUAGAUCUGUUUGGUCAUCAGGUGUUACGAGCCACACCCAUUUCUAGCUAGAAUAGUGUGUUAGGCUCAGGCUAGAAAAGAAACGGGGAACAAAGUGAUGAAAGAAUGAUCAUACCGAGGGAAUUCACUCAGAACUAACAAGAAUGAUAACAUGCUCCGACUAGAGCGGUUUAGGAACUGCUGGAAGGCUCUAGGGGAAUAAAUAUGGAAUGACUUCUAAUUUUCAGGUCCGUAUGAUUUGAAAUACUUGCACACAAACCGCGCGAAAGCGUUCCUGGAAAUCUCAUCCCAAAGAAGGUCGUUUAGUAAUUCUAAAAGGGACUACAGGAUGAAAAACAAUAGUUUUGGCAAUUUAAGGUUUGAGAUUCGACGGUGCCGUAGAUCCGUUUGGUCAUCAGGUGUUACGAGCCACACCCAUGUCUAGCUAGAAUAGUGUGCUAGGCUCAGGCUAGAGAAGAAACAGGGAACAAACUGAUGAAAGAAUGAUCAAACCGAGGGAAUUCACUCAGAACUAACAAUAAUGAUAACGUUCUCCGUCUGGAGCGGUUUAGGAACUGCUGGAAGGCUCUAGGGGAAUAAAGAUGGAAUGACUUCUAAUUUUUAGGUCCGUAUGAUUUGAAAUACUUGCACACAAACCGCGCCAAAUCGUUCCUGGAAAUCUCAGCCCAAAAAAGGACGUUUAGUAAUUCUAAAAGGGACUACAGGAUGAAAAACAAUAGUUUUGGCAGUUAAAGUUUGAGAUUCGAUGGUGCCGUAGACCCGUUUGGUCAUCAGGUGUUACGAGCCACACCCAUGUCUAGCUAGAGUAGUGUGCUAGGUUCAGACUAGAGAAGAAACAGGGAACAAAGUGAUGAAAGAAUGAUCAUACCGAGGGAAUUCACUCAGAACUAACAAGAAUGAUAACGUGCUCCGACUGGAGCGGUUUAGGAACUGCUGGAAGGCUCUAGGGGAAUAAAGAUGGAAUGACUUCUAAUUUUUACGUCCGUAUGAUUUGAAAUACUUGCACACAAACCACGCAAAAGCGUUCCUGGAAAUCUCAGCCUAAAAAAGGACGUUUAGUAAUUCAAAAAGGGACUACAAAAUGAAAAACAAUAGUUUUGGCAGUUAAAGUUUGAGAUUCGAUGGUGCCGUAGAUCCGUUUGGUCAUCAGGUGUUACGAGCCACACCCAUGUCUAGCUAGGAUAGUGUGUUAGGCUCAGGCUAGAGAAGAAACGGGGAACAAACUGAUGAAAGAAUGAUCAUACCGAGGGAAUUCACUCAGAACUAACAAGGAUGAUAACAUGCUCCGACUAGAGCGGUUUAGGAACUGCUGGAAGGCUCUAGGGGAAUAAAGAUGGAAUGACUUCUAAUUUUUAGGUCCGUAUGAUUUGAAAUACUUGCACACAAACCGCAAGAAAGCGUUCCUGGAAAUCUCAGCCCAAAAAAGGACGUUUAGUAAUUCUAAAAGGGACUACAGGAUGAAAAACAAUAGUUCUGGCAGUUAAAGUUUGAGAUUCGAUAAUGCCGUAGAUCUGUUUGGUCAUCAGGUGUAACGAGCCACACCCAUGUCUAGCUAGAGUAGUGUGCUAGGCUCAGACUAGAGAAGAAACGGGGAACAAACUGAUGAAAGAAUGAUUAUACCGAGGGAAUUCACUCAGAACUAACGAGAAUGAUAACGUGCUCCGACUGGAGCGGUUUAGGAACUGCUGGAAGGCUCUAGGGGAAUAAAGAUGGAAUGACUUCAAAUUUUUAGGUCUGUAUGAUUUGAAAUACUUGCACACAAACCGCAAGAAAGCGUUCCUUGAAAUCUCAGCCCAAAAAAGGACGUUUAGUAAUUCUAAAAGGGACUACAGGAUGAAAAACAAUAGUUCUGGCAGUUAAAGUUUGAGAUUCGAUAAUGUCGUAGAUCCGUUUGGUCAUCAGGUGUAACGAGCCACACCCAUGUCUAGCUAGAGUAGUGUGCUAGGCUCAGAAUAGAGAAGAAACGGGGAACAAACUGAUGAAAGAAUGAUCAUACCGAGGGAAUUCACUCAGAACUAACAAGAAUGAUAACGUGCUCCGACUGGAGCGGUUUAGGAACUGCUGGAAGGCUCUAGGGGAAUAAAGAAGGAAUGACUUCUAAUUUUUAGGUCCGUAUGAUUUGAAAUACGUGCACACAAACCGCGCGAAAGCGUUCCUGGAAAUCUCAGCCAAAAAAAGGACGUUUAGUAUUCUAAAAGGGACUACAGAAUGAAAAACAAUAGUUUUGGCAGUUAAAGUUUGAGAUUCGACGGUGCUGUAGAUCCGUUUGGUCAUCAGGUGUUACGAGCCACACCCAUGUCUAGCUAGAAUAGUGUGCUAGGCUCAGGCUAGAGAAGAAAAGGGGAACAAACUAAUGAAAGAAUGAUCAAUCCGAGGGAAUUCACUCAGAACUAACAAUAAUGAUAACGUGCUCCGACUGGAGCGGUUUAGGAACUGCUGGAAGGCUCUAGGCGAAUAAAGAUGGAAUGACUUCUAAUUUUUACGUCCGUAUGAUUUGAAAUACUUGCACACAAACCACGCAAAAGCGUUCCUGGAAGUCUCGGCCUAAAAAGGACGUUUAGUAAUUCUAAAAGGGACUACAGGAUGAAAAAUAAUAGUUUGGGCAGUUAAAAUUUGAGAUUCGACGGUGCCGUAGAUCCAUUUGGUCAUCAAGUGUUACGAGCCACACCCAUGUCUAGCUAGAAUAGUGUGUUAGGCUCAGGCUAGAGAAGAAACGGGGAACAAACUGAUGAAAGAAUGAUCAUACCAAGGGAAUUCACUCAGAACUAACAAGAAUGAUAACGUGCUCCGACUGGAGCAGUUUAGAAACUGCUGGAAGGCUCUUGGGGAAUAAAGAUGGAAUGACUUCAAAUUUUUAGGUCCGUAUGAUUUGAAAUACUUGCACACAAACCACGCGAAAGCGUUCCUGGAAAUCUCAGCCCAAAAAAGGACGUUUAGUAAUUCUAAAAGGGACUACAUGAUGAAAAACAAUAGUUUUGGCAGUUAAAGUUUGAGAAUCGUCGGUGCCGUAGAUCCGUUUGGUCAUCAGCUGUAACGAGCCACACCCAUGUCUAGCUAGAGUAGUGUGCUAGGCUCAGACUAGAGAAGAAACAGGGAACAAAGUGAUGAAAGAAUGAUCAUACCGAGGGAAUUCACUUAGAACUAACAAGAAUGAUAACAUGCUCCGACUUGAGCGAUUUAGGAACUUCUGGAAGGCUCUAGGGGAAUAAAGAUGGAAUGACUCAAAUUUUUAGGCCCGUAUGAUUUGAAAUACAUGCACACAAACCGCGAGAAAGUGUUCCUGGAAAUCUUAGCCCAAAAAAGGACGUUUAGUAAUUCUAAAAGGGACUACAGGAUGAAAAACAAUAGUUUUGGUAGUUAAAGUUUCAGAUUCGAUAAUGCCCUAGAUCCGUUUGGUCAUCAGGUGUAACGAGCCACACCAAUGUCUAGCUAGAGUAGUGUGCUAGGCUCAGACUAGAUAAGAAACGGGGAAGAAACUGAUGAAAGAAUGAUCAGACCGAGGGAAUUCACUCAGAACUAACAAUAAUGAUAACGUGCUCCGAGUGGAGCGGUUUAGGAACUGCUGGAAGGCUCUAGGGGAAUAAAGAUGGAAUGACUUCUAAUUUUUAGGUCCGUAUGAUUUGAAAUACGUGCACACAAACCCCGAGAAACCGUUCCUUGAAAUCUCGGCCCAAAAAAGGACGUUUAGUAAUUCUAAAAGGGACUACAAAAUGAAAAACAAUAGUUUUGGCAGUUAAAGUUUGAGAUUCGACGGUGUCGUAGACCCGUUUGGUCUUCAGGUGUUACGAGCCACACCCAUGUCUAGCCAGAGUAGUGUGCUAGGUUCAGACUAGAGAAGAAACGGGGAACAAAGUGAUGAAAGAAUGAUCAUACCGAGGGAAUUCACUCAGAACUAACAAGAAUGAUAACGUGCUCCGACUGGAGCGGGUUAGGAACUCCUGGAAGGCUCUAGGGGAAUAAAGAUGGAAUGACUUCUAAUUUUUACGUCCGUAUGAUUUGAAAUACUUGCACACAAACCACGCAAAAGCGUUCCUGGAAAUCUCAGCCUAAAAAAGGACGUUUAGUAAUUCUAAAAGGGACUACAGGAUGAAAAAUAAUAGUUUGGUCAUCAGGUGUUACGAGCCACACCCAUGUCUAGCUAGAAUAGUGUGCUAGGCUCAGGCUAGAGAAGAAACGGGGAAUAAACUGAUGAAAGAAUGAUCAAACCGAGGGAAUUCACUCAGAACUAACAAUAAUGAUAACGUUCUCCGUCUGGAGCGGUUUAGGAACUGCUGGAAGGCUCUAGGGGAAUAAAGAUGGAAUGACUUCUAAUUUUUAGGUCCGUAUGAUACGAAAUACUUGCACACAAACCGCGCGAAAUCGUUCCUGGAAAUCUCAGCCCAAAAAAGGACGUUUAGUAAUUCUAAAAGGGACUACAGCAUGAAAAACAAUAGUUCUGGCAGUUAAAGUUUGAGAUUCGAUAAUGCCGUAGAUCCGUUUGGUCAUCAGGUGUAACGAGCCACACCCAUGUCUAGCUAGAGUAGUAUGCUAGGCUCAGACUAGAGAAGAAACGGGGAACAAACUGAUGAAAGAAUGAUUAUACCGAGGGAAUUCACUCAGAACUAACAAGAAUGAUAACGUGCUCCGGCUGGAGCGGUUUAGGAACUGCUAGAAGGCUCUAGGGGAAUAAAGAUGGAAUGACUUCAAAUUUUUAGGUCUGUAUGAUUUGAAAUACUUGCACACAAACCGCAAGAAAGCGUUCCUGGAAAUCUCAGCCCAAAAAAGGACGUUUAGUAAUUCUAAAAGGGACUAUAGGAUGAAAAACAAUAGUUCUGGUAGUUAAAGUUUGAGAUUCGAUAAUGUCAUAGAUCCGUUCGGUCAUCAGGUGUAACGAGCCACACCCAUGUCUAGCUAGAGUAGUGUGCUAGGCUCAGACUAGAGAAGAAACGGGGAACAAACUGAUGAAAGAAUGAUCAUACCGAGGGAAUUCACUCAGAACUAACAAGAAUGAUAACGUGCUCCGACUGGAGCGGUUUAGGAACUGCUGGAAGGCUCUAGGGGAAGAAAGAAGGAAUGACUUCUAAUUUUUAGGUCCGUAUGAUUUGAAAUACGUGCACACAAACCGCGCGAAAGCGUUCCUGGAAAUCUCAGCCCAAAAAAGGACGUUUAGUAUUCUAAAAGGGACUACAGAAUGAAAAACAAUAGUUUUGGCAGUUAAAGUUUGAGAUUCGACGGUGCCGUAGAUCCGUUUGGUCAUCAGGUGUUACGAGCCACACCCAUGUCUAGCUAGAAUAGUGUGCUAGGCUCAGGCUAGAGAAGAAAAGGGGAACAAACUGAUGAAAGAAUGAUCAAACCGAGGGAAUUCACUCAGAACUAACAAUAAUGAUAACGUGCUCCGACUGGAGCGGUUUAGGAACUGCUGGAAGGCUCUUGGCGAAUAAAGAUGGAAUGACUUCUAAUUUUUACGUCCGUAUGAUUUGAAAUACUUCCACACAAACCAGGCAAAGGCGUUCCUGGAAAUCUCGGCCUAAAAAGGACGUUUAGUAAUUCUAAAAGGGACUACAGGAUGAAAAAUAAUAGUUUGGGCAGUUAAAAUUUUAGAUUCGACGGUGCCGUAGAUCCGUUUGGUCAUCAGGUGUUACGAGCCACACCCAUGUCUAGCUAGAAUAGUGUGUUAGGCUCAGGCUAGAGAAGAAACGGGGAACAAACUGAUGAAAGAAUGAUCAUACCAAGGGAAUUCACUCAGAACUAACAAGAAUGAUAACGUGCUCCGACUGGAGCAGUUUAGAAACUACUGGAAGGCUCUAGGGGAAUAAAGAUGGAAUGACUUCAAAUUUUUAGGUCCGUAUGAUUUGAAAUACUUGCACACAAACCGCGCGAAAGCGUUCCUGGAAAUCUCAGCCCAAAAAAGGACGUUUAGUAAUUCUAAAAGGGACUACAUGAUGAAAAACAAUAGUUUUGGCAGUUAAAGUUUGAGAUUCGUCGGUGCCGUAGAUCCGUUUGGUCAUCAGCUGUAACGAGCCACACCCAUUUCUAGCUAGAGUAGUGUGCUAGGCUCAGACUAAAGAAGAAAUGGGGAACAAAGUGAUGAAAGAAUGCUCAUACCGAGGGAAUUCACUCAGAACUAACAAGAAUGAUAACAUGCUCCGACUUGAGCGAUUUAGGAACUUCUGGAAGGCUCUAGGGGAAUAAAGAUGGAAUGACUCAAAUUUUUAGGUCCGUAUGAUUUGAAAUACUUGCACACAAACCGCGAGAAAGCGUUCCUGGAAAUCUCAGCCCAAAAAAGGACGUUUAGUAAUUCUAAAAGGGACUACAUGAUGAAAAACAAUAGUUUUGGCAGUUAAAGUUUGAGAUUUGAUAAUGCCGUAGAUCCGUUUGGUCAUCAGGUGUAACGAGCCACACCCAUGUCUAGCUAGAGUAGUGUGCUAGGCUAAGACUAGAUAAGAAAAGGGGAAGAAACUUAUGAAAGAAUGAUCAGACCGAGGGAAUUCACUCAGAACUAACAAUAAUGAUAACGUGCUCCGACUGGAGCGGUUUAGGAACUGCUGGAAGGCUCUAGGGGAAUAAAGAUGGAAUGACUUCUAAUUUUUAGGUCCGUAUGAUUUGAAAUACGUGCACACAAACCCCGAGAAACCGUUCCUGGAAAUCUCGGCCCAAAAAAGGAUGUUUAGUAAUUCUAAAAGGGACUACAAAAUGAAAAACAAUAGUUUUGGCAGUUAAAGUUUGAGAUUUGAUGGUGCCGUAGAUCUGUUUGGUCAUCAGGUGUUACGAGCCACACCCAUGUCUAGCUAGAAUAGUGUGUUAGGCUCAGGCUAGAAAAGAAACGGGAAACAAAGUGAUGAAAGAAUGAUCAUACCGAGGGAAUUCACUCAGAACUAACAAGAAUGAUAACAUGCUCUGACUGGAGCGGUUUAGGAACUGCUGGAAGGCUCUAGGGGAAUAAAGAUGGAAUGACUUCUAAUGUUUAGGUCCGUAUGAUUUGAAAUACUUGCACAUAAACCGCGCAAAAGCGUUCCUGGAAAUCUCAGCCCAAAAAAGGACGUUUAGUAAUUCUAAAAGGGACUACAGGAUGAAAAACAAUAGUUUUGGCAGUUAAAGUUUGAGAUUCGACGGUGCCGUAGAUCCGUUUGUUCAUCAGGUGUUACGAGCCACACCCAUGUCUAGCUAGAAUAGUGUGUUAGGCUCAGGCUAGAGAAGAAACGGGGAACAAACUGAUGAAAGAAUGAUCAAACCGAGGGAAUUCACUCAGAACUAACAAUAAUGAUAACGUGCUCCGACUAGAGCGGUUUAGGAACUGCUGGAAGGCUCUAGGGGAAUAAAGAUGGAAUGACUUCUAAUUUUUAGGUCUGUAUGAUUUGAAAUACUUGCACGCAAACCGCGCGAAAGCGUUCCCGGAAAUAUCAGCCUAAAGAAGGACGUUUAGUAAUUCUAAAAGGGACUACAGGAUGAAAAACAAUAGUUUUGGCAGUUAAAGUUUGAGAUUCAACGGUGCCGUAGAUCCGUUUGGUCAUCAGGUGUUACGAGCCACACCCAUGUCUAGCUAGAGUAGUGUGCUAGGCUCAGGCUAGAGAAGAAACAGGGAACAAACUGAUGAAAGAAUGAUCAUACCGAGGGAAUUCACUCAGAACUGAUGAAAGAAUGAUCAAACCAAGGAAAUUCACUCAGAACUAACAAUAAUGAUAACAUGCUCCGACUGGAGCGGUUUAGGAACUGCUGGAAGGCUCUAGGGGAAUAAAGAUGGAAUGACUUCUAAUUUUUAGGUCCGUAUGAUUUGAAAUACGUGCACACAAACCCCGAGAAACCGUUCCUGGAAAUCUCGGCCCAAAAAAGGACGUUUAGUAAUUCUAAAAGGGACAACAAAAUGAAAAACAAUAGUUUUGGCAGUUAAAGUUUGAGAUUCGACGGUGCCGUAGACCCGUUUGGUCAUCAGGUGUUACGAGCCACACCCAUGUCUAGCUAGAGUAGUGUGCUAGGUUCAGACUAGAGAAGAAACGGGGAACAAAGUGAUGAAAGAAUGAUCAUACCGAGGGAAUUCACUCAGAACUAACAAGAAUGAUAACGUGCUCCGACUGGAGCGGGUUAGGAAUUGCUGGAAGGCUCUAGGGGAAUAAAGAUAGAAUGACUUCUAAUUUUUACGUCCGUAUGAUUUGAAAUACUUGCACACAAACCACGCAAAAGCGUUCCUAGAAAUCUCAGCCUAAAAAAGGACGUUUAGUAAUUCUAAAAGGGACUACAGGAUGAAAAAUAAUAGUUUGGCCAGUUAAAAUUUAAGAUUCGACGGUGCCGUAGAUCCGCUUGGUCAUCAGGUGUUACGAGCCACACCCAUGUCUAGCUAGAAUAGUGUGUUAGGCUCAGGCUAGAGAAGAAACGGGGAACAAACUGAUGAAAGAAUGAUCAUACCGAGGGAAUUCACUCAGAACUAACAAGAAUGAUAACAUGCUCCGACUGGAGCGGUUUAGGAACUGCUGGAAGGCUCUAGGGGAAUAAAGAUGGAAUGACUUCUAAUUUUUAGGUCCGUAUGAUUUGAAAUACUUGCACACAAACCGCAAGAAAGCGUUCCUGGAAAUCUCAGCACAAAAAAGGACGUUUAGUAAUUCUAAAAGGGACUACAGCAUGAAAAACAAUAGUUCUGGCAGUUAAAGUUUGAGAUUCGAUAAUGCCGUAGAUCCGUUUGGUCAUCAGGUGUAACGAGCCACACCCAUGUCUAGCUAGAGUAGUGUGCUAGGCUCAGACUAGAGAAGAAACGGGGAACAAAAUGAUGAAAGAAUGAUUAUACCGAGGGAAUUCACUCAGAACUAACAAGAAUGAUAACGUGCUCCGACUGGAGCGGUUUAGGAACUGCUGGAAGGCUCUAGGGGAAUAAAGAUGGAAUGACUUCAAAUUUUUAGGUCUGUAUGAUUUGAAAUACUUGCACACAAACCGCAAGAAAGCGUUCCUGGAAAUCUCAGCCCAAAAAUGGACGUUUAGUAAUUCUAAAAGGGACUAUAGGAUGAAAAACAAUAGUUCUGGCAGUUAAAGUUUGAGAUUCGAUAAUGUCGUAGAUCCGUUCGGUCAUCAGGUGUAACGAGCCACACCCAUGUCUAGCUAGAGUAGUGUGCUAGGCUCAGACUAGAGAAGAAACGGGGAACAAACUGAUGAAAGAAUGAUCAUACCGAGGGAAUUCACUCAGAACUAACAAGAAUGAUAACGUGCUCCGACUGGAGCGGUUUAGGAACUGCUGGAAGGCUCUAGGGGAAGAAAGAAGGAAUGACUUCUAAUUUUUAGGUCCGUAUGAUUUGAAAUACGUGCACACAAACCGCGCGAAAGCGUUCCUGGAAAUCUCAGCCCAAAAAAGGACGUUUAGUAUUCUAAAAGGGACUACAGAAUGAAAAACAAUAGUUUUGGCAGUUAAAGUUUGAGAUUCGACGGUGCCGUAGAUCCGUUUGGUCAUCAGGUGUUACGAGCCACACCCAUGUCUAGCUAGAAUAGUGUGCCAGGCUCAGGCUAGAGAAGAAAAGGGGAACAAACUGAUGAAAGAAUGAUCAAACCGAGGGAUUUCACUCAGAACUAACAAUAAUGAUAACGUGCUCCGACUGGAGCGGUUUAGGAACUGCUGGAAGGCUCUAGGCGAAUAAAGAUGGAAUGACUUCUAAUUUUUACGUCCGUAUGAUUUUAAAUACUUGCACACAAACCACGCAAAAGCGUUCCUGGAAAUCUCGGCCUAAAAAGGACGUUUAGUAAUUCUAAAAGGGACUACAGGAUGAAAAAUAAUAGUUUGGGCAGUUAAAAUUUGAGAUUCGACGGUGCCGUAGAUCCGUUUGGUCAUCAGGUGUUACGAGCCACACCCAUGUCUAGCUAGAAUAGUGUGUUAGGCUCAGGCUAGAGAAGAAACAGGGAACAAACUGAUGAAAGAAUGAUCAUACCAAGGGAAUUCACUCAGAACUAACAAGAAUGAUAACGUGCUCCGACUGGAGCAGUUUAGAAACUGCUGGAAGGCUCUAGGGGAAUAAAGAUGGGAUGACUUCAAAUUUUUAGGUCCGUAUGAUUUGAAAUACUUGCACACAAACCGCGCGAAAGCGUUCCUGGAAAUCGCAGCCCAAAAAAGGACGUUUAGUAAUUCUAAAAGGGACUACAUGAUGAAAAACAAUAGUUUUGGCAGUUAAAGUUUGAGAUUCGUCGGUGCCGUAGAUCCGUUUGGUCAUCAGCUGUAACGAGCCACACCCAUGUCUAGCUAGAGUAGUGUGCUAGGCUCAGACUAGAGAAGAAAUGGGGAAAAAAGUGAUGAAAGAAUGAUCAUACCGAGGGAAUUCACUCAGAACUAACAAGAAUGAUAACAUGCUCCGACAUGAGCGAUUUAGGAACUUCUGGAAGGCUCUAGGGGAAUAAAGAUGGAAUGACUCAAAUUUUUAGGUCCGUAUGAUUUGAAAUACUUGCACACAAACCGCGAGAAAGCGUUCCUGGAAAUCUCAGCCCAAAAAAGGACAUUUAGUAAUUCUAAAAGGGACUACAGGAUGAAAAACAAUAGUUUUGGCAGUUAAAGUUUGAGAUUUGAUAAUGCCGUAGAUCCGUUUGGUCAUCAGGUGUAACGAGCCACACCCAUGUCUAGCUAGAGUAGUGUGCUAGGCUAAGACUAGAUAAGAAACCGGGAAGAAACUAAUGAAAGAAUGAUCAGACCGAGGGAAUUCACUCAGAACUAACAAUAAUGAUAACGUGCUCCGACUGGAGCGGUUUAGGAACUGCUGGAAGGCUCUAGGGGAAUAAAGAUGAAAUGACUUCUAAUUUUUAGGUUCGUAUGAUUUGAAAUACAUGCACACAAACCCCGAGAAACCGUUCCUGGAAAUCUCGGCCCAAAAAAGGAUGUUUAGUAAUUCUAAAAGGGACUACAAAAUGAAAAACAAUAGUUUUGGUAGUUAAAGUUUGAGAUUUGAUGGUGCCAUAGAUCUGUUUGGUCAUCAGGUGUUACGAGCCACACCCAUGUCUAGCUAGAAUAGUGUGUUAGGCUCAGGCUAGAAAAGAAACGGGAAACAAAGUGAUGAAAGAAUGAUCAUACCGAGGGAAUUCACUCAGAACUAACAAGAAUGAUAACAUGCUCUGACUGGAGCGGUUUAGGAACUGCUGGAAGGCUCUAGGGGAAUAAAGAUGGAAUGACUUCUAAUGUUUAGGUCCGAGGUCCGUAUGAUUUGAAAUACUUGCACAUAAACCGUGCAAAAGCGUUCCUGGAAAUCUCAGCCCAAAAAAGGACGUUUAGUAAUUCUAAAAGGGACUACAGGAUGAAAAACAAUAGUUUUGGCAGUUAAAGUUUGAGAUUCGACGGUGCCGUAGAUCCGUUCGUUCAUCAGGUGUUACGAGCCACACCCAUGUCUAGCUAGAAUAGUGUGUUAGGCUCAGGCUAGAGAAGAAACGGGGAACAAACUGAUGAAAGAAUGAUCAAACCGAGGGAAUUCACUCAGAACUAACAAUAAUGAUAACGUGCUCCGACUAGAGCGGUUUAGGAACUGCUGGAAGGCUCUAGGGGAAUAAAGAUGGAAUGACUUCUAAUUUUUAGGUCUGUAUGAUUUGAAAUACUUGCACGCAAACCGCGCGAAAGCGUUCCCGGAAAUAUCAGCCCAAAAAAGGACGUUUAGUAAUUCUAAAAGGGACUACAGGAUGAAAAACAAUAGUUUUGGCAGUUAAAGUUUGAGAUUCAACGGUGCCGUAGAUCCGUUUGGUCAUCAGGUGUUACGAGCCACACCCAUGUCUAGCUAGAGUAGUGUGCUAGGCUCAGGCUAGAGAAGAAACAGGGAACAAACUGAUGAAAGAAUGAUCAUACCGAGGGAAUUCACUCAGAACUGAUGAAAGAAUGAUCAAACCGAGGAAAUUCACUCAGAACUAACAAUAAUGAUAACAUGCUCCGACUGGAGCGGUUUAGGAACUGCUGGAAGGCUCUAGGGGAAUAAAGAUGGAAUGACUUCUAAUUUUUAGGUCCGUAUGAUUUGAAAUACGGGCACACAAACCCCGAGAAACCGUUCCUGGAAAUCUCGGCCCGAAAAAGGACGUUUAGUAAUUCUAAAAGGGACUACAAAAUGAAAAACAAUAGUUUUGGCAGUUAAAGUUUGAGAUUCGACGGUGCCGUAGACCCGUUCGGUCAUCAGGUGUAACGAGCCACACCCAUGUCUAGCUAGAGUAGUGUGCUAGGCUCAGACUAGAGAAGAAACGGGGAACAAACUGAUGAAAGAAUGAUCAUACCGAGGGAAUUCACUCAGAACUAACAAGAAUGAUAACGUGCUCCGACUGGAGCGGUUUAGGAACUGCUAGAAGGCUCUAGGGGAAGAAAGAAGGAAUGACUUCUAAUUUUUAGGUCUGUAUGAUUUGAAAUACGUGCACACAAACCGCGCGAAAGCGUUCCUGGAAAUCUCAGCCCAAAAAAGGACGUUUAGUAUUCUAAAAGGGACUACAGAAUGAAAAACAAUAGUUUUAGCAGUUAAAGUUUGAGAUUCGACGGUGCCGUAGAUCCGUCUGGUCAUCAGGUGUUACGAGCCACACCCAUGUCUAGCUAGAAUAGUGUGCUAGGCUCAGGCUAGAGAAGAAAAGGGGAACAAACUGAUGAAAGAAUGAUCAAACCGAGGGAAUUCACUCAGAACUAACAAUAAUGAUAACGUGCUCCGACUGGAGCGGUUUAGGAACUGCUGGAAGGCUCUAGGCGAAUAAAGAUGGAAUGACUUCUAAUUUUUACGUCCGUAUGAUUUGAAAUACUUGCACACAAACCACGCAAAAGCGUUCCUGGAAAUCUCGGCCUAAAAAGGACGUUUAGUAAUUCUAAAAGGGACUACAGGAUGAAAAAUAAUAGUUUGGGCAGUUAAAAUUUGAGAUUCGACGGUGCCGUAGAUCCGUUUGGUCAUCAGGUGUUACGAGCCACACCCAUCUCUAGCUAGAAUAGUGUGUUAGGCUCAGGCUAGAGAAGAAACGGGGAACAAACUGAUGAAAGAAUGAUCAUACCAAGGGAAUUCACUCAGAACUAACAAGAAUGAUAACGUGCUCCGACUGGAGCAGUUUAGAAACUCCUGGAAGGCUCUAGGGGAGUAAAGAUGGAAUGACUUCAAAUUUUUAGGUCCGUAUGAUUUGAAAUACUUGCACACAAACCGCGCGAAAGCGUUCCUGGAAAUCUCAGCCCAAAAAAGGACGUUUAGUAAUUCUAAAAGGGACUACAUGAUGAAAAACAAUAGUUUUGGCAGUUAAAGUUUGAGAUUCGUCGGUGCCGUAGAUCCGUUUGGUCAUCAGCUGUAACGAGCCACACCCAUGUCUAGCUAGAGUAGUGUGCUAGGCUCAGACUAGAGAAGAAAUGGGGAACAAAGUGAUGAAAGAAUGAUCAUACCGAGGGAAUUCACUCAGAACUAACAAGAAUGAUAACAUGCUCCGACUUGAGCGAUUUAGGAACUUCUGGAAGGCUCUAGGGGAAUAAAGAUGGAAUGACUCAAAUUUUUAGGUCCGUAUGAUUUGAAAUACUUGCACACAAACCGCGAGAAAGCGUUCCUGGAAAUCUCAGCCCAAAAAAGGACGUUUAGUAAUUCUAAAAGGGACUACAGGAUGAAAAACAAUAGUUUUGGCAGUUAAAGUUUGAGAUUCGAUAAUGUCGUAGAUCCGUUUGGUCAUCAGGUGUAACGAGCCACACCCAUGCCUAGCUAGAGUAGUGUGCUAGGCUAAGACUAGAUAAGAAACGGGGAAGAAACUGAUGAAAGAAUGAUCAGACCGAGGGAAUUCACUCAGAACUAACAAUAAUGAUAACGUGCUCCGACUGGAGCGGUUUAGGAACUGCUAGAAGGCUCUAGGGGAAUAAAGAUGGAAUGACUUCUAAUUUUUAGGUCCGUAUGAUUUGAAAUACGUGCACACAAACCCCGAGAAACCGUUCCUGGAAAUCUCGGCCCAAAAAAGUAUGUUUAGUAAUUCUAAAAGGGACUACAAAAUGAAAAACAAUAGUUUUGGCAGUUAAAGUUUGAGAUUUGAUGGUGCCGUAGAUCUGUUAGGUCAUCAGGUGUUACGAGCCACACCCAUGUCUAGCUAGAAUAGUGUGUUAGGCUCAGGCUAGAAAAGAAACGGGAAACAAAGUGAUGAAAGAAUGAUCAUACCGAGGGAAUUCACUCAGAACUAACAAGAAUGAUAACAUGCUCUGACUGGAGCGGUUUAGGAACUGCUGGAAGGCUCUAGGGGAAUAAAGAUGGAAUGACUUCUAAUGUUUAGGUCCGUAUGAUUUGAAAUACUUGCACAUAAACCGCGCAAAAGCGUUCCUGGAAAUCUCAGCCCAAAAAGGACGUUUAGUAAUUCUAGAAGGGACUACAGGAUGAAAAACAAUAGUUUUGGCAGUUAAAGUUUGAGAUUCGACGGUGCCGUAGAUCCGUUUGUUCAUCAGGUGUUACGAGCCACACCCAUGUCUAGCUAGAAUAGUGUGUUAGGCUCAGGCUAGAGAAGAAACGGGGAACAAACUGAUGAAAGAAUGAUCAAACCGAGGGAAUUCACUCAGAACUAACAAUAAUGAUAACGUGCUCCGACUAGAGCGGUUUAGGAACUGCUGGAAGGCUCUAGGGGAAUAAAGAUGGAAUGACUUCUAAUUUUUAGGUCUGUAUGAUUUGAAAUACUUGCACGCAAACCGCGCGAAAGCAUUCCCGGAAAUAUCAGCCCAAAAAAGGACGUUUAGUAAUUCUAAAAGGGACUACAGGAUGAAAAAGAAUAGUUUUGGCAGUUAAAGUUUGAGAUUCAACGGUGCCGUAGAUCCGUUUGGUCAUCAG
RNAcentral lists this long non-coding RNA (43228 nucleotides) under Triticum aestivum (bread wheat). RNAcentral's name for it is "long non-coding RNA (TAES_LNC019907)". The record is from RNAcentral. Lineage: Eukaryota; Viridiplantae; Streptophyta; Magnoliopsida; Poales; Poaceae.